GAUGAACGCUAGCGGCAGGCUUAAUACAUGCAAGUCGAGGGGCAGCGGGGGGUAGCAAUACCUGCCGGCGACCGGCAAACGGGUGCGGAACACGUACACAACCUUCCUUUAAGUGGGGGAUAGCCCAGAGAAAUUUGGAUUAAUACCCCGUAACAUUGUUGAGUGGCAUCACUUGGCAAUUAAAGCUCCGGCGCUUGAAGAUGGGUGUGCGUCUGAUUAGGUAGUUGGUAGGGGUAACGGCCCACCAAGCCAGCGAUCAGUAACUGGUGUGAGAGCACGACCAGUCACACGGGCACUGAGACACGGGCCCGACUCCUACGGGAGGCAGCAGUAAGGAAUAUUGGUCAAUGGACGCAAGUCUGAACCAGCCAUGCCGCGUGGAGGAUGAAGGUCCUCUGGA
This 400-nucleotide ribosomal RNA is filed under the name uncultured bacterium. RNAcentral's name for it is "bacterial SSU rRNA". It matches the Rfam family "Bacterial small subunit ribosomal RNA", at positions 28 to 422 of the family's 1533-position model. The record is from RNAcentral.